GGAUCAUGCAACCUCUGUUGCUGAGAUUCUGAAGGAAGACCCUCUUGUUGCCCGCUUGAAGGUUCCUUGGUGACUCAAAAUAUGACAAAGUAUUAAAGAUCUUUUAUGUGUGCGCCAUCAGGCUCGAAUGCAUGAGAUGAAGGAAAAGGACCACACAUAUGUGGGGAAUGCAGAUGCAAAUUCACAUGUAUGUAAAGUCUGUUUCGAAUCACUAACUUCUGC
Molecule: unclassified non-coding RNA, 222 nt
Filed under: Hevea brasiliensis (rubber tree)
Lineage: Eukaryota; Viridiplantae; Streptophyta; Magnoliopsida; Malpighiales; Euphorbiaceae
Source: RNAcentral